AGGCAAUCGCGUUCACCGCACGGUGAAUGAGGAAAGUCCGAGCUCCGCAGGGCAGUGUGCUGGAUAACGUCCAGCGAGGGUGACCUUAGGGACAGUGCCAUAGAAAUUUAAACCGCCGGCUAUGCCGGUAAGGGUGGAAAGGUGCGGUAAGAGCGCACCAGCAGUCGAGUGAUCGGCUGGCUUUGGUAAACCCCACAUGGAGCAAGACCAAAUAGGGAAGGAUUGAGGCGGCCCGCCGGCCUUCCGGGUAGUGUCGCUUGAGCCGGCAGGCAACCGUCGGCCCAGAUAAAUGAUUGUCACCGCCGCAAGGCGGAACAGAACUCGGCUUAUUGGUUUUCUCG
This 341-nucleotide RNase P RNA is filed under the name uncultured Centipeda sp. RNAcentral's name for it is "Bacterial RNase P class A". It matches the Rfam family "Bacterial RNase P class A". From Rfam's summary of the family: Ribonuclease P (RNase P) is a ubiquitous endoribonuclease, found in archaea, bacteria and eukarya as well as chloroplasts and mitochondria. Its best characterised activity is the generation of mature 5'-ends of tRNAs by cleaving the 5'-leader elements of precursor-tRNAs. Lineage: Bacteria; Bacillati; Bacillota; Negativicutes; Selenomonadales; Selenomonadaceae. The record is from RNAcentral.